UAACGCGUGGAUAACCUGCCUCACACAGGGGAGUAACAGUUAGAAAUGACUGCUAAUACCGCAUAAGCGCACGGCAUCGCAUGAUGCAGUGUGAAAAACUCCGGUGGUGUGAGAUGGAUCCGCGUCUGAUUAGGUAGUUGGUGGGGUAACGGCCUACCAAGCCGACGAUCAGUAGCCGACCUGAGAGGGUGACCGGCCACAUUGGGACUGAGACACGGCCCAA
Molecule: ribosomal RNA, 223 nt
Filed under: uncultured bacterium
Lineage: Bacteria
Description: partial 16S ribosomal RNA
Rfam family: Bacterial small subunit ribosomal RNA
Source: RNAcentral